AAUAUUUUUACUAAAACUGUUUUUAUUUAAGGCCGGUCUUAAAAAAACAUGAAAGUCAUGCACAAUUAUUUAUUGAAAUCACGUUAUCUUUAAUGCUUAGUUUGGCCAUUUACAAUCUUGUACUAGCUGAAGCCAAAGGUCAUGUGUAGACUGUAUAUAUUACUCAUAGGAAUUGAAAAUUGUGGUCUUAUUUAAGUAUAUCUACCAAACAAACAUAAGAAGAUAUCAACAACUGGAUGCAAUGUUCGUUCUUCACCAAGAAGGGAGCCAUAAUAUCAAUGAUCUUCUGUUCAGACCAAAACUAAUUAUUCUUAACACACUUAAUAUUUUCUUAAUAUUUCACCCGUGAAAUAUAUUAGAGAUUUUAUGAUCCUAGAAAAAGACUAUAGAACAAGGAGGAUUAAUAUAGUGCUAGCGAGCCUAAAACAAACGGGAAAAUAGACAGAAAAUUAGUGAGUAUAAACCUCAGAAGAGAAAUUGAAAUAUAAUGUAAGUUUAAACAGGAUGAAUAGAUGAACAAUUGAAAACUAAAUCAAAAGAGUGAAUUUAUAAGAAUAAAAGUAUAGAAUAAUAAUAGUAAUGGAAGAUGAUUUAAUGUAUAAAUUGUUUAAACAAAUAACAGUCCAAACCCUUACAUGGGCAGCUUGCAAAAGAGAUAAAAAGAGAAACAAUAAACGGAACCCAGAUGUGGACGUGGCUGCCAUACGCAAAUAUAAAUACAGAAACAGGGGCAUGAUAACGGCAUGCCAAUAUCAAGUUAUCGCAGUAAACUAUAUGACAAACUAUAAAAAUAUUAUCGUGCUUUCACUGAAAACAUACAUCAAUCAUUACAGGCUCUCAAAAAAACUUGAACUGGCAUAAGACAGUAGUAAAACAUCUUCAUUGGAACAUCAGUAAACACUACAAUAUAUGUGAGAAAUGGUACCAGCAGAAGUUACCAUACCAUUAUGAGACACACAGAUACUUCACACGGAUAAAACAAACAUGAUAAACAAACCACACAUAGUGAUUAAUCAGAAUAAAAAGAAACAAUACCUUUUGAACGAUGUAGCAGUUGCCAUUCAAAUAUAACAUAAC
Molecule: long non-coding RNA, 1077 nt
Organism: Anthonomus grandis grandis
Lineage: Eukaryota; Metazoa; Arthropoda; Insecta; Coleoptera; Curculionidae
Exons: 3
Source: RefSeq, a predicted model, not a curated record